UAUCAAUAAGCGGAGGAAAAGAAACUAACGAGGAUUCCCCUAGUAACUGCGAGUGAAGCGGGAAAAGCUCAAAUUUAAAAUCUGGCGGUCUUUGGCCGUCCGAGUUGUAGCCUGGAGAAGCGUCUUCUACGCCGGACCGUGUACAAGUCCCUUGGAACGGGGCGUCAUAGAGGGUGAGAAUCCCGUCCAUGACACGGACCGCCGGCGGUUUGUGAUGCGCUCUCGAAGAGUCGAGUUGUUUGGGAAUGCAGCUCAAAAUGGGUGGUAAAUUCCAUCUAAAGCUAAAUACUGGCGAGAGACCGAUAGCGAACAAGUACCGUGAGGGAAAGAUGAAAAGCACUUUGGAAAGAGAGUUAAACAGUACGUGAAAUUGCUGAAAGGGAAACGCUUGAAGUCAGUCGCGACGGCCGGGGCUCAGCCUUGCAUUCGUUUGCUCGGUUUACUUCCCGGUCGACGGGCCAGCGUCGAUUUUGACCGUCGGAAAAGGGUCAGAGGAAAGUGGCACCUCCGGGUGUGUUAUAGCCUUUGGUCGCAUACGGCGGUCGGGAUCGAGGAACGCAGCACGCCUUUAUGGCCGGGGCACUCGUUGCCCAAGUAUCGUGCUUAGGAUGCUGGCGUAAUGGCUUUAAACGGCCCGUCUUGAAACACGGACCAAGGAGUCUAACGUGCCUG
Molecule: ribosomal RNA, 672 nt
Filed under: Laetiporus sp. IJ-2014
Lineage: Eukaryota; Fungi; Basidiomycota; Agaricomycetes; Polyporales; Laetiporaceae
Description: eukaryotic LSU rRNA
Rfam family: Eukaryotic large subunit ribosomal RNA
Source: RNAcentral